RNAcentral lists this ribosomal RNA (468 nucleotides) under uncultured bacterium. RNAcentral describes it as "partial 16S ribosomal RNA". It matches the Rfam family "Bacterial small subunit ribosomal RNA", at positions 28 to 507 of the family's 1533-position model. The record is from RNAcentral.
GACGAACGCUGGCGGCGUGCUUAACACAUGCAAGUCGAACGGAAAGGCCCUGCUUUUGUGGGGUGCUCGAGUGGCGAACGGGUGAGUAACACGUGAGUAACCUGCCCUUGACUUUGGGAUAACUUCAGGAAACUGGGGCUAAUACCGGAUAGGAGCUCCUGCUGCAUGGUGGGGGUUGGAAAGUUUCGGCGGUUGGGGAUGGACUCGCGGCUUAUCAGCUUGUUGGUGGGGUAGUGGCUUACCAAGGCUUUGACGGGUAGCCGGCCUGAGAGGGUGACCGGCCACAUUGGGACUGAGAUACGGCCCAGACUCCUACGGGAGGCAGCAGUGGGGAAUAUUGCACAAUGGGCGGAAGCCUGAUGCAGCAACGCCGCGUGCGGGAUGACGGCCUUCGGGUUGUAAACCGCUUUCGCCUGUGGCGAAGCGUGAGUGACGGUAAUGGGUAAGGAAGCACCGGCUAACUACGUG